GCAAGACUGUUUUGCUCUGACAGACUGGGAUGUGUUUAAAGCUGCAGCCACUUUGGAGGACUCUUCUGUCAGCAUGCAGGAUUAUGCUGAGUAUGUGAGUGGGUACAUUAGCACUUGUGUUGAUAACAUCAUACCCACCAUACAAGUCAGGAAGUUCCCCAAUCAGAAGCCCUGGAUAAACAGUCAGGUACGCCACAUGCUGCAUGCUCGAUCUCUUGCAUUUACAUCAGGCAACGAGACAGGAUGCUAAUGCCAAGCUUGCUUUGAAUGAACUUCAUGCAGCCAUUAGUAAACAACAGACUGCUCACCCGGAGGCUGCUUUUAUUGUCGCGGGUGAUUUUAAUCACUGCAAAUUAAAGACGGUGCUCCCCAAAUUUCACCAGCAUGUUUCCUGCCACACCAGAGAAGACAAAACUUUGGAUCAUGUUUACACAAACAUUGAUGGAGCUUACAUCGCGACCCCCCUCCCUCACCUCAGACAGUCUGAUCACCUUUCUUUGUUUCUCACCCCCAAGUAUUCACCCCUCAUCAACCGUGUGAAGUCAUCAGUGAGAACCAUCAAAGUGUGGCCAACUGGAGCAGACUCUUUACUUCAGGACAGGUUUCAACACACUGACUGGAGUAUGUUUGCUUCUCAGGCUGCCUGUGGCUCUCACACGGACAUUGAUAUCUAUACCUCCUCUGUACUGAAUCACAUCAACACCACCAUUGACAGUGUUACAACAGAAAAACAGAUAACAACAUACCCUAAUCAGAAGCCAUGGAUGAACAAGGAUGUGCGAAUUCUGCUGAAAGCCCGCAACACUGCCUUCAGGUCAGAUGACGCUCAGGCCUACAGUAAAUCCAGGGCUAACCUGAAAAGGGGCAUCAAAAAGGCCAAGUACUGCUACAAGCUGAAGGUAGAGGAACACUUUUCCAACUCUGACCCCCGACGCAUGUGGCAGGGCAUCCAGGCCAUCAGUGACUACAAGUCAAGUAACUCCACUCCAACGGUCACGGACGUCUCCUUCCUUAACGAGCUAAAUGACUUUUAUGCUCGCUUCAACAGCGACAGCAAGGAGACUGCCACCAAAAUCAGGCAGANNNNNNNNNNNNNNNNNNNNNNNNNNNNNNNNNNNNNNNNNNNNNNNNNNNNN
This is a long non-coding RNA of Cyprinus carpio (common carp), 1136 nucleotides long. The record is from Ensembl. Lineage: Eukaryota; Metazoa; Chordata; Actinopteri; Cypriniformes; Cyprinidae.